Molecule: ribosomal RNA, 498 nt
Filed under: uncultured bacterium
Lineage: Bacteria
Description: partial 16S ribosomal RNA
Rfam family: Bacterial small subunit ribosomal RNA
Source: RNAcentral
GACGAGCGCUGGCGGCGUGCCUAAUACAUGCAAGUCGAGCGGACGAAUCGAAAGCUUGCUUUUGAUUCGUUAGCGGCGGACGGGUGAGUAACACGUGGGCAACCUGCCCUGUAGACGGGGAUAACACCGAGAAAUCGGUGCUAAUACCGGAUAACACGAAAUGUCGCAUGACGUUUCGUUGAAAGACGGCGCAAGCUGUCGCUACAGGAUGGGCCCGCGGCGCAUUAGCUAGUUGGUGAGGUAACGGCUCACCAAGGCGACGAUGCGUAGCCGACCUGAGAGGGUGAUCGGCCACACUGGGACUGAGACACGGCCCAGACUCCUACGGGAGGCAGCAGUAGGGAAUCUUCCGCAAUGGACGAAAGUCUGACGGAGCAACGCCGCGUGAGCGAAGAAGGCCUUCGGGUCGUAAAGCUCUGUUGUUAGGGAAGAACAAGUAACGCAGUAACUGGCGUUACCGUGACGGUACCUAACGAGAAAGCCACGGCUAACUACGUG